GUCCUUUUGUAGCGGACAGGUGUGACAACUGUGUUUUCAUGCUCACCUGUGAGAUGUGCCUCCCUCCAACCUGGUCACGGUAUAGGCACGUCAUCCAUGUGAUA
This is a small nucleolar RNA of Lemur catta (Ring-tailed lemur), 104 nucleotides long. RefSeq annotates it as small nucleolar RNA U13. Lineage: Eukaryota; Metazoa; Chordata; Mammalia; Primates; Lemuridae. The record is from RefSeq and is a predicted model, not a curated record. The transcript has a single exon.